RNAcentral lists this ribosomal RNA (478 nucleotides) under uncultured bacterium. RNAcentral describes it as "partial 16S ribosomal RNA". It matches the Rfam family "Bacterial small subunit ribosomal RNA", at positions 28 to 523 of the family's 1533-position model. The record is from RNAcentral.
GACGAACGCUGGCGGCGUGCUUAACACAUGCAAGUCGAGCGAUGAAGUUCCUUCGGGAAUGGAUUAGCGGCGGACGGGUGAGUAACACGUGGGUAACCUGCCUCAUAGAGGGGAAUAGCCUUUCGAAAGGAAGAUUAAUACCGCAUAAGAUUGUAGUACCGCAUGGUACAGCAAUUAAAGGAGUAAUCCGCUAUGAGAUGGACCCGCGUCGCAUUAGCUAGUUGGUGAGGUAACGGCUCACCAAGGCGACAAUGCGUAGCCGACCUGAGAGGGUGAUCGGCCACAUUGGGACUGAGACACGGCCCAGACUCCUACGGGAGGCAGCAGUGGGGAAUAUUGCACAAUGGGGGAAACCCUGAUGCAGCAACGCCGCGUGAGUGAUGACGGUCUUCGGAUUGUAAAGCUCUGUCUUCAGGGACGAUAAUGACGGUACCUGAGGAGGAAGCCACGGCUAACUACGUGCCAGCCGCCGCGGUAA